CAGAGUUGCAAAACUCCCAAACCAUUGUGAACGUUACCCAUCCCGUUGCUUCGGCGGGCGGCCCGGGCCCCGCGCCCGGCGCCCCCGGCCCCACUCGGGCGCCCGCCGGAGGAAAACCGAACCCUUGAACUGUAUGGCCUCUCUGAGUCUUCUGUACUGAAUAAGUCA
RNAcentral lists this unclassified non-coding RNA (168 nucleotides) under uncultured Chaetomium. RNAcentral describes it as "sequence contains ITS1". Lineage: Eukaryota; Fungi; Ascomycota; Sordariomycetes; Sordariales; Chaetomiaceae. The record is from RNAcentral.